GAUGAACGCUGGCGGCGUGCCUAAUACAUGCAAGUCGAGUGAACAGAUGAGGAGCUUGCUCCUCUGACGUUAGCGGCGGACGGGUGAGUAACACGUGGAUAACCUACCUAUAAGACUGGGAUAACUUCGGGAAACCGGAGCUAAUACCGGAUAAUAUAUUGAACCGCAUGGUUCAAUAGUGAAAGACGGUUUUGCUGUCACUUAUAGAUGGAUCCGCGCCGCAUUAGCUAGUUGGUAAGGUAACGGCUUACCAAGGCAACGAUGCGUAGCCGACCUGAGAGGGUGAUCGGCCACACUGGAACUGAGACACGGUCCAGACUCCUACGGGAGGCAGCAGUAGGGAAUCUUCCGCAAUGGGCGCAAGCCUGACGGAGCAACGCCGCGUGAGUGAUGAAGGUCUUCGGAUCGUAAAACUCUGUUAUUAGGGAAGAACAAAUGUGUAAGUAACUAUGCACGUCUUGACGGUACCUAAUCAGAAAGCCACGGCUAACUACGUG
This 497-nucleotide ribosomal RNA is filed under the name uncultured bacterium. RNAcentral's name for it is "partial 16S ribosomal RNA". It matches the Rfam family "Bacterial small subunit ribosomal RNA", at positions 28 to 507 of the family's 1533-position model. The record is from RNAcentral.